UUUAUUGGAGAGUUUGAUCCUGGCUCAGGAUGAACGCUGGCGGCGUGCCUAAUACAUGCAAGUCGAGCGAAUGACGAGGAGCUUGCUCCUCUGAUUUAGCGGCGGACGGGUGAGUAACACGUGGGUAACCUGCCUGUAAGACGGGGAUAACUCCGGGAAACCGGAGCUAAUACCGGAUGAUAACGAGAAGCGCCUGCUUCUUUUUUGAAAGUCGGUUUCGGCUGACGCUUACAGAUGGGCCCGCGGCGCAUUAGCUAGUUGGUGAGGUAACGGCUCACCAAGGCGACGAUGCGUAGCCGACCUGAGAGGGUGAUCGGCCACACUGGGACUGAGACACGGCCCAGACUCCUACGGGAGGCAGCAGUAGGGAAUCUUCGGCAAUGGACGAAAGUCUGACCGAGCAACGCCGCGUGAGCGAUGAAGGCCUUCGGGUCGUAAAGCUCUGUUGUCAGAGAAGAACAAGUACCGGAGUAACUGCCGGUAC
Molecule: ribosomal RNA, 484 nt
Filed under: Fictibacillus enclensis
Lineage: Bacteria; Bacillati; Bacillota; Bacilli; Caryophanales; Fictibacillaceae
Description: bacterial SSU rRNA
Rfam family: Bacterial small subunit ribosomal RNA
Source: RNAcentral